RNAcentral lists this ribosomal RNA (1419 nucleotides) under metagenome. Its description in RNAcentral is "bacterial SSU rRNA". It matches the Rfam family "Bacterial small subunit ribosomal RNA". The record is from RNAcentral.
GGGUGCCGACGAGUGGCGAACGGGUGAGUAAUGUAUCGGAACGUACCUUUCAGUGGGGGAUAACGUAGCGAAAGUUACGCUAAUACCGCAUAUUCUGUGAGCAGGAAAGCAGGGGAUCGCAAGACCUUGCGCUGAUUGAGCGGCCGAUAUCAGAUUAGCUAGUUGGUGAGGUAAAGGCUCACCAAGGCGACGAUCUGUAGCGGGUCUGAGAGGAUGAUCCGCCACACUGGAACUGAGACACGGUCCAGACUCCUACGGGAGGCAGCAGUGGGGAAUUUUGGACAAUGGGGGCAACCCUGAUCCAGCCAUGCCGCGUGAGUGAAGAAGGCCUUCGGGUUGUAAAGCUCUUUCGGCCGGGAAGAAAUCGUAUGGGUUAAUACCCUGUGCGGAUGACGGUACCGGCAUAAGAAGCACCGGCUAACUACGUGCCAGCAGCCGCGGUAAUACGUAGGGUGCGAGCGUUAAUCGGAAUUACUGGGCGUAAAGCGUGCGCAGGCGGUUUUGUAAGACAGGCGUGAAAUCCCCGGGCUCAACCUGGGAACUGCGCUUGUGACUGCAAGGCUAGAGUACGGCAGAGGGGGGUGGAAUUCCACGUGUAGCAGUGAAAUGCGUAGAGAUGUGGAGGAACACCAAUGGCGAAGGCAGCCCCCUGGGUUAUACUGACGCUCAUGCACGAAAGCGUGGGUAGCAAACAGGAUUAGAUACCCUGGUAGUCCACGCCCUAAACGAUGUCAACUAGGUGUUGGGUGGGUAAAACCAUUUAGUACCGGAGCUAACGCGUGAAGUUGACCGCCUGGGGAGUACGGCCGCAAGGUUAAAACUCAAAGGAAUUGACGGGGACCCGCACAAGCGGUGGAUGAUGUGGAUUAAUUCGAUGCAACGCGAAAAACCUUACCUACCCUUGACAUGUCCAGGAGCCUGAAGAGAUUUGGGUGUGCCCGAAAGGGAACUGGAACACAGGUGCUGCAUGGCUGUCGUCAGCUCGUGUCGUGAGAUGUUGGGUUAAGUCCCGCAACGAGCGCAACCCUUGUCGUUAAUUGCCAUCAUUUAGUUGGGCACUUUGACGAGACUGCCGGUGACAAACCGGAGGAAGGUGGGGAUGACGUCAAGUCCUCAUGGCCCUUAUGGGUAGGGCUUCACACGUCAUACAAUGGUCGGUACAAAGGGUCGCCAACCCGCGAGGGGGAGCCAAUCCCAGAAAGCCGAUCGUAGUCCGGAUCGUAGGCUGCAACUCGCCUGCGUGAAGUCGGAAUCGCUAGUAAUCGUGGAUCAGCAUGUCACGGUGAAUACGUUCCCGGGUCUUGUACACACCGCCCGUCACACCAUGGGAGCGGGUUCCGCCAGAAGUAGGUAGCCUAACCGCAAGGGGGGCGCUUACCACGGCGGGGUUCGUGACUGGGGUGAAGUCGGAACAAGGUA